AAUCCCAGAACCAUUGAGAAACCAUGCUCUGAGAUGCAGAACUACUCAGCUGGGAUAAAGAACACAACCCACAUUCUGAGAUAGGUGAUGAGGAAUGGCUGGAAGCUUGAAUGGCAGUUAGAGAGGUGAAGCAAGUAUGAGUACCACACCUGUCUUGGAGAGCUGUAGGUCCAGCUCCUGGACCAGAGCCAGGACCAUGUGGAAGGAUAACACUACUUUUGUAGAAGAGACCCUUGAGCAGCCAGUUGUCAAGGUACAGAAAGAUGAGGUCACUUCCUGCUGAAGAAUUGAGGGCCAAGCAGAAGUUGCACUUCUGGGAGAUGUGGGACUCCUCCAAGCAAUGGACAUGCUUAGAGUGGCUGUUGCUUACAGGAAUAACCUCUUGGCAGGAGAGGCAGCAUUUGAAGCCAG
Long non-coding RNA from Dermochelys coriacea (leatherback sea turtle), 411 nucleotides. RefSeq lists it as uncharacterized. The record is from RefSeq and is a predicted model, not a curated record. Lineage: Eukaryota; Metazoa; Chordata; Testudines; Dermochelyidae. The transcript has 3 exons.